GCCAAUCAGGACCGAUGCUCACAGUGACAACACUCACGCUGAGGAUAUUGUGGGUUAGAAGAGGAGCAUGGGUAAAAUAGAGGAGAGCAGGAGAAGUAAGAGAUGAGAUGAGAGGAGAGGGGAGAGGAGGAGGAGGAGGAGGAAGAGGAGAGGAGGAGGAGGAGGAGGAGGAGAGGAAUGAGAGGAGUACAAGGAAGCGGAAAACGGACGCACGUCACGAGCUGAUGGUGACAAACCGGUGCAAUCUCACAUUAACACCUCAACAAUCAAAGAUCUUUGAGUUGAUCAAAUUAUUGUGCACUCUAGCCUACAGUUUGUUUAGAGGAUUUACAGUUUGUUUAGAGGUUUACAGUUUGUUUAGAGGAUUACAGUUUGUUUAGAGGAUUUACAGUUUGUUUAGAGGAUAACAGUUUUAGAGGAUUUACAGUUUGUUUAGAGGAUUACAGUUUGUUUAGAGGAUUACAGUUUGUUUAGAGGAUUUACAGUUUGUUUAGAGGUUUACAGUUUGUUUACAGUUUGUUUAGAGGAUUACAGUUUGUUUAGAGGUUUACAGUUUGUUUAGAGGUUUACAGUUUGUUUACAGUUUGUUUAGAGGUUUACAGUUUGUUUACAGUUUGUUUAGAGGAUUUACAGUUUGUUUAGAGGAUUUACAGUUUGUUUAGAGGUUUACAGUCUGUUUAGAGGAUUUACAGUUUGUUUACAGUUUGUUUAGAGGUUUACAGUCUGUUUAGAGGGUUUACAGUUUGUUUAGAGGGUUACAGUUUGUUUAGAGGUUUACAGUUUGACAGCGCCACUUUUUCUACAGACAAACAUUAGUCACAGGAUUGCAAAGGGAAGGUCAGAUGCAGAUAAGGG
This 855-nucleotide long non-coding RNA is filed under the name Salmo salar (Atlantic salmon). RNAcentral's name for it is "lncRNA (ENSSSAG00000092610.1)". The record is from RNAcentral. Lineage: Eukaryota; Metazoa; Chordata; Actinopteri; Salmoniformes; Salmonidae.